Molecule: long non-coding RNA, 2151 nt
Organism: Gorilla gorilla gorilla (western lowland gorilla)
Lineage: Eukaryota; Metazoa; Chordata; Mammalia; Primates; Hominidae
Exons: 3
Source: RefSeq, a predicted model, not a curated record
GAUUGCAAAACUGGCACUGUCCCCAGGAAAUCCAUACUGUGUGAUCGCUUGUCCAACAGAGGAAAAGCAGAGAAUCCUGAGAUGCCCUAGCUGGAAGGGCUGCGAGUUCACUGGGUUUUCUCCAUUGUAUGACAGAGGAGACAGGCCCAGAGAGGGGAAGGGACUUGCCUGAGAUUGUGCAGCAGGUUUGCAGCAGAACAGAGGCCAGAACCAGUCUUUCCUGUUUCCAGACCAGGGCUUCUUCCCAGUACUGCACUAUGAACCCAGUUUUGAGCCUGUGCAUAAGCCUGUUGACCUCUCUAGAGGGUAGGCUCUGGAAGUAGGUAAACUAAGUGGUAGGCUUUGAAUAGUGGGCAUUGUUAAUCAAAGGGGAAGGAGUGAAGACAGCAAGACUAGCUAGUAAAAAAUAAAAUCAACUAUGUUAGCAACUUUAGGAGAAAGUCAAGUUCAUGAGACUUUAUAGAGACAAAAUAGGGAGAAGCAGCUAGCAGAACUGCAGUGUUUUGCAUUUUUGUGACCACAAAUGUUAGGUGAGCCUGGAACACAGUGAAACUGACCAAGUAGGGUUAAGGUUUGAGUAAGGGCUAAACUGUUGAAAUGCUAUUCCUGGUCACUCUGGCAACUGGGUCUCUUUCCCAAUGCUGAAGGCAUUAAAAUAGGAUAAAACAUGCAAAUGCACCAAAUCGGAAUCAAAGGUGUAGUCAUACAAAGUCUGGAUUGCUCCAUUUUAAGGAAAGGUCUAGAAGUUUAUGCCUCAGAAAGCAAAUGAAGACAUGAGGGGAAGAAUUUGAAUUACAUAUAUAAAGAUUAAAUUAGUCCUGCAAACAUGCAUACUCAUUUUUCUUCCCAUUGACUCUGGUCACACGCAUCGUAGAUAAUGAAUCAUGUAGUCGCGUGCUCUAUUGUCUUUCCUGUUCUACUCAAUAAUACAGUUGCCAGUAAGAAAACAUGCUCAUUCUUCUAGGGAUCUAUCUAAAUUGGUCUGGGUUGUAGAAUAUAGAGCAACUUGCUGCUUAGAUGAGUGGUUCCCAAACUUUAACAUGCAUCAGGGGCACCUGGAAGGAAUCUGCAGCUGCUACAUAGCAGAUUUUGAGAUCACUCAACUGGGAGUCUCCACUCCCUAAAGCAGGAGCCCAAAGCAGAAAUCACAAUGUGGGGCCAGGGUCACUGGGCAUAUACUUUAUUCUAGGCCCAUCACCCAAACAGGUGUGUUAAAUUUGUCCUCCUUUCUCUUCUUUGAAGUUGUAACCAUGGUACUAUUUGUUUUGCGUUGUCUGCACUGUGUCUGGGGAAGUACACUUUUCAUGUGUGUACUAGCACCUGCUGGGAUGCACAGUCAUAGCUGUAGAGCUGGAAGGUCCUGAGAAACCACAGAGCCCUUCAUUCUGUUCUUUUUUGCAUAGCAGUGCCUCUUUUUAUAGAGGAUGUAUUAGGCUGUUCUCGCACUGCUAUAAAGAAAUACCUGAGACUGGGUGAUAUGGUUUGGGUCUGUGUCCCUGCCCAAAUCUCAUGUCAAAUUGUAACCCCCAGUGUUGGAAGUGGGGCCUGGUGGGAGGUGAUUAGAUCCUGGGGGCAGAUUUCCCCUUUGGUGUUCUUGUGGUAGUAAAUUAUUGUGAGAUCUGGUUGUUUAAAAGUGUAUGGCACCUCCCUGCCUCUCUCUUCCUUCUGCUCCGGCCAUGUAAGAAGUACCUGCUUCCCCUUUGCCUUCUGCCAUGAUUCUAAGUUUCCUGAGGCCUCUCCGGCCAUGCUUCCUGUACAGCCUGUGGAACUGAGUUUCCCUGAACAAGCUCUCUUUGCCUGCUGCCAUCCAUGUAAGACGUGACUUAUUCCUCCUUGCCUUCCGCCAUGAUUGUGAGGCCUCCCCAGCCAUUCAGAACUGUGAGGGUUCCAGACUCCAGAGUCUCCCUUUACCUAGUUCUUGGGAGUCUAGUGCAGCUGAAGACGAGGUACUGCGGAUGAAGAGGAAGACGAGGUACUGCGGAUGAAGAGAAACCCAGAUGAUCCAGGCACAUUUUAUAGACAAGGCCUCAACGACCCCAAAGGAACCUUUGAAAUCACCCUUUUCCUGGGUUCAUGACGACUUAUAAACGAUACCAUCCAUCCCUGCUUAUUCAUACUUAUUAAAUACCAGAAUAAAGAGAUUAGAGCUCA